Molecule: long non-coding RNA, 3460 nt
Organism: Camelus dromedarius (Arabian camel)
Lineage: Eukaryota; Metazoa; Chordata; Mammalia; Artiodactyla; Camelidae
Source: Ensembl
GCAGGUGGCAGCGUGGAGUCACCCANNNNNNNNNNNNNNNNCCUCUCUGGGAGCCAGAGCAGCCUGGCCAGCGAGGCUGGGACAGGCUCUGCAGACCCGCAGUGGGGCACCCAGCCCUGGCCAGACCCAAAGGGCCCCGGCAAAAGGCACACCUGGGCGAGUCCCCGCUGCUGACGUGGCCUCCGCCGGUCCCCUCCGCCUGCCCUGGGCAGAGGCAUGUUUGGUGCGUGGAGCAGACUUUCCAGUGGAAGAGCCUGAGAGGGAGAGAGAGAGGGAGCUGGAGCCAGGCCCUCCCCGGCUCCUUCCCGACCAGUCCUGAAGGCCUGUGCCGCCCAGCCCUGCCCAGCGUGACCUCUGACUCAACAUCCAGUGUUUUGGGGGCUGAGUCCGCUUUCCCCCACCCACUGCCUUUCUGCACCCUUCUCUCUCGGGAACUCCCCUCUUCCACCCCGACCCCAGCGACUCCACUCAGCCAUGGCCUUUAUUUAUUGCCCUCCCCCAACCCCUAGGCCACCCCUGUGUUCAUUUUCAGUUUGCUCUCGUCUUGGCUGCACCGGAAGGGCAUUCGAAAACACUGUGUGGGGCCUUCCCAUAUGCACUGCAGUUUCUGAGGGUGCCAGGCAGGGCCUUCUCCAUAGUUGUAUUAAUGGAGGAAGACAUCCUACCCUGAGCGGUACCCGUCACAGCUGAACGUGGCCCCCAGAAAGGAGCUGUGAGCAGGUGGGAUGAGAGGUCCACCCGCCCGUCCCUCCCCCUGCAGCUCCGGGAGUGGAGCAGCCUUCUCCCUCUUGGCUCAGGAGCUGCUGCUAAGCCUGGCCAGCUGGUAGGUUUCUUGGAAGGCCUCCUUGGCCUCCCCAGGCUUUGCUCAGCCUCUCACUGGGUGGUGGAGCUGGGAAGGGUUCUGGUGAACUCUGUGAAUUCGCUCACUGGAAAGCAGCCUUCAGCUGAGUCCCCUGCUGGGGCGUGAACCUCCCUAAGCCGUUAAUUCACUUCUCUUCAAAAAAUAUCUAAUAAGUGUGGGCAGAUGCUUCUAGAAAACCCUUUCCCUGAGGAGAGAGAACGUGUGUUUAUGUGUGUGUGGUGCCCACACCCUCCCGUCCUUCCUGCCCGCCCCCCAUGCCUGGUCCUCGAAGGGCCUUCCUCUCCAGGCCCUCAGGCCCCCACCGUUAGCUCUUUUACCUUUGUCACUGGCAGACAGUAGGAAACCUCACUGUUGCCCUGCGACAAGUUAUGCUUCAGAACAUAAACAAUAAAGAUUAGAAUUUGCAUUGAGCCAGUGUGUUGACCAGAAGGCUACAAUCGCUUGUGUUUCUGAGAGCCUUCAGUAGAGAAGUGGAUGGGGGAAAUAUGGUACACCGAUUGCGGGAACACUUGCCCAGCCGCAGGAAAAGGUGUGAGCUUGAUCUGCGUGUUAGAAGGGCUCACAAAGCCAAUGCUGAAUGGAAAAAUUGAGGCCACCUGCGUUAAAGGGAAAGUUAAGUGUGAGUACAAAUAAUCGAAAUGACUUAUACACACGUGUAGGCACAUGUGUAACAACGGACAAGGAUGCCUGGUGAAACAUGUCGACUGAACGCAUCUGUAUUUCCUCUGCCUCCCAGACCCCACCAAAACGACACAAAGGAGCGAAAAUGGCAUGAGCUACAAAGGCAGAAGGAAUAGGAGAGGCGACGGCAGCAGGGAAGAGAGGUCCGAAGACUUUGGAAGAUGGAAGAGCAUCACUUGUUUAGUGCCAGCUUCCCGCGCUCCCCAAAGUGUCUACAAGAGGGAGAGCCAGCCAUUAACAAGCCCAUUCACUCUGCAGAAUCCCCCAAAUGCUCAGAACGUGGAGCGACCGGGUUAUGCCUAAGGCGGAAGCUCAGGGUGGGUGUGAAAAUAGUAUCGGUUGGAAGAAGUGCCACCCAAGCCUCGUCUCCCAGCCCAGAUGGCUCGUGAUGGCCCUUCUCUCCCUCUGGUAGAAGACGCGUUUACAGCUGGCCAAGGUUGAGCUAGAAGGAUUGGGUUUGGGAACCCUAAGCCCAACCAAAAGCUGAGGUGAAGUGAUAGUUAAUGGGGAGACCCUUAGCCCUCUUCACCUGCUCACAGGUGGCUCUGUUCCCAUCCAGCCCCUCUCCCACCCCCACGGCAGGACAUUAUUGAAUUUCUCUCUGGGAAACUGACCAAAGAGAAAAGACAGACAGAUGCUGAAAUUGGUGAUUCCCCCAUCUCUGCCCAGUCACCAUCGUGAGGCCCCCAUUCCCAAGCCCCUCCCAGGUGUACAGAGCUUCCUGUUAGCUUUGCCAUGUUGCACUCAUAGUUAACCAAAACCAACAGCUGAAGACACAGUGACCCCAGCACACAGAAGAAAGGGGUCAGAGAACAAUCCUCUGAAGAUAUUUGCCCUUGAAACAGGAAGAAAAGAAUGUUAUUUUUCAAAAGGCACUGUUAAAGCUCUUGAAAAUUAAAAGAUAAAUAUAUAAUAGCACAAAUGUUUCAAUGCAUUAGAAGGGGUGGAAGAUGUGAGAAAAUCUCCCAGAAAAUGAAACACCAAAACAAAGAAAUGUAAAAGUAGGAAGAAAAAGUCAAGACAUUCGGACAACCAAAAGAUCAGAUCCAUCCACACAGAAUGUCUCACCUCCAACUAACAGGAAUUUCAAACCAAGAAGGAGAAAAUAGAGGAGAGAAAAUUGUGGAAGAAAUGACACAAGAAUAUCUCCUAGGACUGAAGGAAACACUCUUUUGUAGAGAAAGAACUCACCACGUGCCGCGCACAGUGAUGUAAAACCAUAGCCAUGUGGACGGCUGCCACCAUUGUGAGUUGCCGUGUGACAAUACCUGGCCUGCAGCCGCAGCGUCGUACCUGUCACCUGAAGUCUUGCUAAAAGAGACUCUCACCCCCUAGGUCUGGGCCGGGGGCUGAGCGUGUAUGUCUGUCCGGCUCCCAGCUGAUGCUGCUGGCUGGAGGACCACACUCUGAGGCACCCUGGUCCAGGGCAGUGGCUGUCACCACUGGCAGCUCUUUGGAAUCACUUGGCAAGCUUUAUAAACACUCACGCUGGACGCGCCCCCCAGACGUGCCCCCAAAGAUUCUGGUUUAGUCAGUGUGGGGCCCAGCCUUGACAUCAGGAUGACUCCAUGUGCUGGCAGGACCGAAACUCUUCUAUGUGGGUUCCAGAAGACAUGCACGGGAUGUUUGGAGCAGCACUUUUUAUUAGCUGAAAACUGGAAACAACCUAAAUACCACGCUGAGCAAAGGAACAGAUGGCAGAAAAAAUAAGUAUGUUAUGACACUGUCUACACAGAGAUUUUUAAACAUGCAAAAAUGUUAUAUAUUAACAUAUAUUUUAUGCAGUGGAAGAAUAAAAUGCAUAGGAAGGAUAAACAACAGAUUUCAAGAUACAUCUUGAGAAGAAGAGGCAUUAGGAGGGGUUUUUAUUGGUAGUGUUUUCUUAGUCUCGAUGAUGGAUGGGUGGAUUUGUAAUAU